This 405-nucleotide ribosomal RNA is filed under the name uncultured bacterium. RNAcentral's name for it is "partial 16S ribosomal RNA". It matches the Rfam family "Bacterial small subunit ribosomal RNA", at positions 28 to 526 of the family's 1533-position model. The record is from RNAcentral.
GAUGAACGCUGGCGGCGUGCCUAAUACAUGCAAGUCGAGCGAAGCGGGGAGGGGUGUGAAACACGUGGAGAACACCCCUUAAGACUGGGAGAACUUCGGGGAACCGGAACUAAUACGGAUAAUUAUAGAUGGAGCCGUGCGGCAUUAGCUAGUUGGUAAGGUAACGGCUUACCAAGGCAACGAUGCAUAGCCGACCUGAGAGGAUGAUCGGCCACACUGGAACUGAGACACGGUCCAGACUCCUACGGGAGGCAGCAUUAGGGAAUCUUCCGCAAUGGGCGAAAGCCUGACGGAGCAACGCCGCGUGAGUGAUGAAGGUCUUCGGAUCGUAAAACUCUGUUAUUAGGGAAGCGGUACCUAAUCAGAAAGCCACGGCUAACUACGUGCCAGCAGCCGCGGUAAUAC